AUCAUCAUCAUCAUCAUCAUCAUCAUCAUCAUCAACACCAUCAUCACCAUCAUCAUUAUCAUUAUCAUCAUCACCAUCAUCACCAUCA
Molecule: non-coding RNA, 88 nt
Organism: Pangasianodon gigas (Mekong giant catfish)
Lineage: Eukaryota; Metazoa; Chordata; Actinopteri; Siluriformes; Pangasiidae
Source: the annotation of a GenBank genome assembly